AGGGUUUGAUUCUGGCUCAGAUUGAACGCUGGCGGCAGGCCUAACACAUGCAAGUCGAGCGGUAGAGAGAAGCUUGCUUCUCUUGAGAGCGGCGGACGGGUGAGUAAUGCCUAGGAAUCUGCCUGGUAGUGGGGGAUAACGCUCGGAAACGGGCGCUAAUACCGCAUACGUCCUACGGGAGAAAGCAGGGGACCUUCGGGCCUUGCGCUAUCAGAUGAGCCUAGGUCGGAUUAGCUAGUUGGUGAGGUAAUGGCUCACCAAGGCGACGAUCCGUAACUGGUCUGAGAGGAUGAUCAGUCACACUGGAACUGAGACACGGUCCAGACUCCUACGGGAGGCAGCAGUGGGGAAUAUUGGACAAUGGGCGAAAGCCUGAUCCAGCCAUGCCGCGUGUGUGAAGAAGGUCUUCGGAUUGUAAAGCACUUUAAGUUGGGAGGAAGGGCAGUUACCUAAUACGUAAUUGUUUUGACGUUACCGACAGAAUAAGCACCGGCUAACUCUGUGCCAGCAGCCGCGGUAAUACAGAGGGUGCAAGCGUUAAUCGGAAUUACUGGGCGUAAAGCGCGCGUAGGUGGUUUGUUAAGUUGGAUGUGAAAUCCCCGGGCUCAACCUGGGAACUGCAUUCAAAACUGACAAGCUAGAGUAUGGUAGAGGGUGGUGGAAUUUCCUGUGUAGCGGUGAAAUGCGUAGAUAUAGGAAGGAACACCAGUGGCGAAGGCGACCACCUGGACUGAUACUGACACUGAGGUGCGAAAGCGUGGGGAGCAAACAGGAUUAGAUACCCUGGUAGUCCACGCCGUAAACGAUGUCAACUAGCCGUUGGGAGCCUUGAGCUCUUAGUGGCGCAGCUAACGCAUUAAGUUGACCGCCUGGGGAGUACGGCCGCAAGGUUAAAACUCAAAUGAAUUGACGGGGGCCCGCACAAGCGGUGGAGCAUGUGGUUUAAUUC
Molecule: ribosomal RNA, 949 nt
Filed under: uncultured Pseudomonas sp.
Lineage: Bacteria; Pseudomonadati; Pseudomonadota; Gammaproteobacteria; Pseudomonadales; Pseudomonadaceae
Description: bacterial SSU rRNA
Rfam family: Bacterial small subunit ribosomal RNA
Source: RNAcentral